AGCGAACGCUGGCGGCAGGCUUAGCACAUGCAAGUCGAACGCCCCGCAAGGGGAGUGGCAGACGGGUGAGUGACACGUGGGAACGUACCCUUUGGUUCGGAAUAACUUGGGGAAACUCAAGCUAAUACCGGAUAAGCCCUUAUGGGGAACGGUUUACUGCCGAAGGAUCGGCCCGCGUCUGAUUAGCUAGUUGGUGAGGUAAUGGCUCACCAAGGCGACGAUCAGUAGCUGGUCUGAGAGGAUGAUCAGCCACACUGGGACUGAGACACGGCCCAGACUCCUACGGGAGGCAGCAGUGGGGAAUAUUGGACAAUGGGGGCAACCCUGAUCCAGCCAUGCCGCGUGAGUGAUGAAGGCCUUAGGGUUGUAAAGCUCUUUUACCCGGGACGAUAAUGACUGUACCGGGAGAAUAAGCCCCGGCUAACUUCGUGCCAGCCGCCGCCGUAA
Molecule: ribosomal RNA, 447 nt
Filed under: uncultured bacterium
Lineage: Bacteria
Description: partial 16S ribosomal RNA
Rfam family: Bacterial small subunit ribosomal RNA
Source: RNAcentral